AUUGAACGCUGGCGGCAUGCUUUACACAUGCAAGUCGAACGGCAGCACAGGGAGCUUGCUCCUGGGUGGCGAGUGGCGAACGGGUGAGUAAUGUAUCGGAACGUGCCUGGUAGUGGGGGAUAACUACUCGAAAGAGAGGCUAAUACCGCAUGAGAUCUUUGGAUGAAAGCGGGGGACCUUCGGGCCUCGUGCUACUGGAGCGGCCGAUAUCAGAUUAGGUUGUUGGUGGGGUAAAGGCCUACCAAGCCUGCGAUCUGUAGCUGGUCUGAGAGGACGACCAGCCACACUGGGACUGAGACACGGCCCAGACUCCUACGGGAGGCAGCAGUGGGGAAUUUUGGACAAUGGGCGCAAGCCUGAUCCAGCAAUGCCGCGUGCAGGACGAAGGCCUUCGGGUUGUAAACUGCUUUUGUACAGAACGAAAAGUCUCUGGCUAAUAUCUAGAGAUCAUGACGGUACUGUAAGAAUAAGCACCGGCUAACUACGUG
RNAcentral lists this ribosomal RNA (488 nucleotides) under uncultured bacterium. Its description in RNAcentral is "partial 16S ribosomal RNA". It matches the Rfam family "Bacterial small subunit ribosomal RNA", at positions 30 to 507 of the family's 1533-position model. The record is from RNAcentral.